Molecule: ribosomal RNA, 253 nt
Filed under: uncultured bacterium
Lineage: Bacteria
Description: partial 16S ribosomal RNA
Rfam family: Bacterial small subunit ribosomal RNA
Source: RNAcentral
UACGUAGGGGGCGAGCGUUGUCCGGAUUUCUUGGGCGUAAAGAGCGUGUAGGCGGUUCGGUAAGUCUGUCGUGAAAUCCUGAGGCUCAACCUCGGGCGUGCGAUGGAUACUGCCGGGCUAGAGGGUGGUAGAGGCGAGUGGAAUUCCCGGUGUAGCGGUGAAAUGCGCAGAUAUCGGGAGGAACACCAGUAGCGAAGGCGGCUCGCUGGGCCACACCUGACGCUGAGACGCGAAAGCUAGGGGAGCGAACAGG